Molecule: long non-coding RNA, 648 nt
Organism: Capsicum annuum
Lineage: Eukaryota; Viridiplantae; Streptophyta; Magnoliopsida; Solanales; Solanaceae
Exons: 4
Source: RefSeq, a predicted model, not a curated record
UUUUUCUCAUUUUAACUUGGACAAAAUUUCCAGCCUUCUAGGUUUUUCUCUCUUGUUCUCUCUUGGCUAUGAAACAACACUAUAAUUCCACAAGGGUUCUUGGGAUUGACCUUCCUUCCAAGCUAAAGGGAUUGAGCUAUUGAGGAAAUAAACAUUAAGACACUAAAAUACCAAGAAAAUCAAGAUAAGUAAUCUAAAAGUGCGGGAAGUCGAGUUGGGCUGGUAUUGGAGUUUUACAACCAGGCACAUGUGCUUCGGCAAACACGCCUCCUCAGUAGGAGCCCAGGAUAUCCAUUUGCUAUUGGUGAGCUCCAGUUUGCUUCGGAACUUUUCGAGUCGGUUCCAUAUAUUUUUGGUAUUGUAUAAAAGUUAAUAGUAUGGCGGGGGUUUGUCCUGACUGUCACACCUCUAUUAAAUAAGGAUUAUUUUAAUUACAGAGUCGCCACUUGGAAUUGAGUUAUGGUGUUCCAAGUCACCUUUUUGAAUCCCUAAUCAAAAGGAAAUGACUCUUUGUUUGUCUGCGAAAAUAGAAGACCGGGUAAGGAAUUCUGUUGAUCGAGGGGAAGGUGUGAGGCACCCCUCGAGUCCCGUGGUUCUAGCACGGUCGCUUUUAUUAACUUAUACUUAACUUUAACUAUUUUGGAUAAA